This 514-nucleotide ribosomal RNA is filed under the name uncultured bacterium. RNAcentral's name for it is "bacterial SSU rRNA". It matches the Rfam family "Bacterial small subunit ribosomal RNA", at positions 8 to 526 of the family's 1533-position model. The record is from RNAcentral.
AGAGUUUGAUCAUGGCUCAGGACGAACGCUGGCGGCGUGCUUAACACAUGCAAGUCGAACGAUGAUCCUGGGUGCUUUGCACCUGGGGGAUUAGUGGCGAACGGGUGAGUAACACGUGAGCAAUCUGCCCCGGACUCUGGGAUAAGCGCUGGAAACGGCGUCUAAUACUGGAUAUGACGCGCGAAGGCAUCUUCUGCGUGUGGAAAGUUUUUCGGUUCGGGAUGAGCUCGCGGCCUAUCAGCUUGUUGGUGAGGUAAUGGCUCACCAAGGCGACGACGGGUAGCCGGCCUGAGAGGGUGACCGGCCACACUGGGACUGAGACACGGCCCAGACUCCUACGGGAGGCAGCAGUGGGGAAUAUUGCACAAUGGGCGCAAGCCUGAUGCAGCAACGCCGCGUGGGGGAUGACGGCCUUCGGGUUGUAAACCUCUUUUAGCAGGGAAGAAGCCUUUCGGGGUGACGGUACCUGCAGAAAAAGCACCGGCUAACUACGUGCCAGCAGCCGCGGUAAUUC